Molecule: long non-coding RNA, 138 nt
Organism: Helianthus annuus (common sunflower)
Lineage: Eukaryota; Viridiplantae; Streptophyta; Magnoliopsida; Asterales; Asteraceae
Exons: 3
Source: RefSeq, a predicted model, not a curated record
GUGGACAUUUAUGAAGACGAUCAGCCUGCAAAGAAACUGGGUUUUGAUGCAAUGACACCGAAGAAGAAUCAAAUAUGCAGCCCAAUGAAAGAUUCUCCGAAGACGGACAGUGGAAGUGUAGAGAUCAUUUCAUAUGGA